RNAcentral lists this ribosomal RNA (201 nucleotides) under uncultured bacterium. RNAcentral describes it as "partial 16S ribosomal RNA". It matches the Rfam family "Bacterial small subunit ribosomal RNA", at positions 524 to 723 of the family's 1533-position model. The record is from RNAcentral.
UACGGAGGGUGCAAACGUUGCUCGGAAUCAUUGGGCGUAAAGCGCACGUAGGCGGCCUGUUAAGUCGGGUGUGAAAGCCCUGGGCUCAACCCAGGAAGUGCACUCGAAACUGGCAGGCUUGAAUAUGGAAGAGGGUCGCGGGAAUUCCCGGUGUAGAGGUGAAAUUCGUAGAUAUCGGGAGGAACACCAGUGGCGAAGGCG